AAGGAUCAUUCCAAGAUCUCUUGCAAAACAAGACAUCGCCUGUGUCUCGACUGUGUUUCGCAUCAACGCUUCACACAUUGAUCGUUCAACAACAACCAAAAACUCAUACAACUGCUGGCAACGGAUCACUCGGCUCUCGUGUCGAUGAAGAGCGUAGCGAAUUGCGAAAAGUCAUGCGAUUUGCACCCCUCGUGAAUCAUUGAAUCCUUGAACGCAGCCUGCACCUUUCGGGUCUUCCGGAGGUCAGUCUGUUUGAGUGUGAUUUUCACUUGAUGGUCCGCCCGAAGGGGUUGAUCGUCGGAACGCAUAGGCCGUUGGCGUUGCAGACGCACAUCUCGGGUUGCAAGACACUUGAUGGGUAGAGGCAACGCUCAAAGGCUCUGGUUGACGGCUGGAAGGCCGUUGGCUGACCAAGGGUGGUGUCUUUCGAGACACUUGCGGACACUUGCCUCACAGCAAGUGCCCCCACCCUUCCAAACCCACCUCAAAUCAGACUGGAUUACCCGCUGAACUUAAGCAUAUCAAUAAGCGGAGGAAAAGAAACCAACAGGGAUUCCCCUAGUAACGGCGAGUGAAGCGGGAACAGCUCAAAUUUGAAAUCGGGGUCUGGCGGCAGGCUCCCGACGUGUAGUUUGAUGAGACGUGCCCGGCGGGUCGACAGGUCAAAGUCCCUUGGAACGGGGCGCCACAGAAGGUGAAAGUCCCGUCCGUGGCCUGUGUCAGGACCGCCGUGCUGUGGGCCGUCUUCGCAGAGUCGGGUUGUUUGGGAAUGCAGCUCAAAGCGGGUGGUAAACGCCAUCAAAGGCUAAAUACAGGCGAGAGACCGAUAGCGAACAAGUACCGUGAGGGAAAGUUGAAAAGCACUCUGAAGAGAGAGUCAAACAGCGCGUGAAAUUGCCAACAGGGAAACGAUGGGCGCCAGUGUGAGGCGUGUUCGGUUCAGCUGGUCCGCUGCAGGGCUGGUGUACGCCGGACACGCCCGGUCAACAUCGGUGUGGCUGGGGCGAAAAGGGUGUGCGGCCGGCAAGUCUUUCGGGACGAGCACCGCGCACACGACGGUCCCGGCCAGACCGAGGCAAGCGAGCGAGGAGUUGAGGGCCUGCGGGUUCAGGUGAGGCGCGCGUCUGUGUCGACAGUCUGACUGACGGCGCGGACGUCUCGCCCAGCCCCCCGCGGCCCAUUCCCCCGCUCCCGACGGUUGACGAAAUGGCGUCCAACGACC
Molecule: ribosomal RNA, 1222 nt
Filed under: uncultured fungus
Lineage: Eukaryota; Fungi
Description: eukaryotic LSU rRNA
Rfam family: Eukaryotic large subunit ribosomal RNA (bases 480-1222)
Source: RNAcentral